CUUGCAUACCUAUAAGAGGUCCAGCCUGCCCAGUGACUCUGUUCAACGGCCGCGGUAUCCUAACCGUGCGAAGGUAGCGUAAUCACUUGUUCUUUAAAUGAGGACUAGUAUGAAUGGCACCACGAAGGUUAUACUGUCUCCUCUCUCUAAUCAGUGAAACUAAUCUCCCCGUGAAGAAGCGGGGAUAAUCUUAUAAGACGAGAAGACCCUAUGGAGCUUUAAACUAAGAAUCAACUGCCUUUACCAUAUUUAAAUUCCAGAAGACUAACUUUUACCAAGACAUUCUGAUCUCUAGUUUUAGGUUGGGGUGACCACGGAGUAAAAACUAACCUCCGCAAUGAACAGGGAUCUUCCCUUAACCAAGGACCACAACCCCAAGAAUCAAUACAUUGACAUCAAUUGACCCAUUAAACCUGAUCAAUGAAC
This 426-nucleotide ribosomal RNA is filed under the name Leptodactylus myersi group sp. ABGD cluster 47. RNAcentral's name for it is "partial large subunit ribosomal RNA". It matches the Rfam family "Bacterial large subunit ribosomal RNA", at positions 1834 to 2457 of the family's 2925-position model. The record is from RNAcentral. Lineage: Eukaryota; Metazoa; Chordata; Amphibia; Anura; Leptodactylidae.